CCCAAGCGCCGCGCCGGCGUAGCUACUAUUCCUCUUCGCCAAGUUCACAGUUCGGACUGUUGCUUCGGGCGUCUUUGUGAAAACAGAUAAUCAUGACUUCUACUUGGGUUGGUUCUAGAGGGACGAUUCAGGAUUCCGCAGGAUUCAAUGCUUCCAAAGAUGCAGAGGCACUUAAAAAAGCAAUGGAAGGACUGGGCACGGAUGAAACAACAGUGAUUGAGAUCCUGACAGGGAGAUCCAAUGCUCAACGGCAGCUGAUAGCGGCAGAGUACAAAUCUUACACUG
This is a non-coding RNA of Thamnophis sirtalis, 285 nucleotides long. NCBI's taxonomy places the organism in Eukaryota, Metazoa, Chordata, Lepidosauria, Squamata, Natricidae. The record is from RefSeq and is a predicted model, not a curated record.